This 444-nucleotide ribosomal RNA is filed under the name uncultured bacterium. RNAcentral describes it as "partial 16S ribosomal RNA". It matches the Rfam family "Bacterial small subunit ribosomal RNA", at positions 339 to 795 of the family's 1533-position model. The record is from RNAcentral.
CUACGGGACGCUGCAGUGGGGAAUAUUGCACAAUGGGCGCAAGCCUGAUGCAGCAACGCCGCGUGAGGGACGAAGGCCUUCGGGUUGUAAACCUCUUUUAGCAGGGAAGAAGCGAAAGUGACGGUACCUGCAGAAAAAGCACCGGCUAACUACGUGCCAGCAGCCGCGGUAAUACGUAGGGUGCAAGCGUUGUCCGGAAUUAUUGGGCGUAAAGAGCUCGUAGGCGGUUUGUCACGUCUGCUGUGAAAUUUCGAGGCUCAACCUCGAACUUGCAGUGGGUACGGGCAGGCUAGAGUGCGGUAGGGGAGAUGGGAAUUCCUGGUGUAGCGGUGGAAUGCGCAGAUAUCAGGAGGAACACCAAUGGCGAAGGCACAUCUCUGGGCCGUAACUGACGCUGAGGAGCGAAAGCGUGGGGAGCAAACAGGAUUAGAUACCCCCGUAGUC